Molecule: ribosomal RNA, 1028 nt
Filed under: Kurthia sp. JB110_B12_VA_12EMRSA
Lineage: Bacteria; Bacillati; Bacillota; Bacilli; Caryophanales; Caryophanaceae
Description: bacterial SSU rRNA
Rfam family: Bacterial small subunit ribosomal RNA
Source: RNAcentral
UGCAAGUCGAGCGAAUGACGAGAAGCUUGCUUCUCUGAUUUAGCGGCGGACGGGUGAGUAACACGUGGGCAACCUGCCCUACAGAUCGGGAUAACUCAGGGAAACCUGGGCUAAUACCGGAUAAUCCUUCGAAUCACAUGUUUUGAAGUUGAAAGGCGCUUCGGCGUCACUGUAGGAUGGGCCCGCGGUGCAUUAGCUAGUUGGUGGGGUAACGGCCUACCAAGGCAACGAUGCAUAGCCGACCUGAGAGGGUGAUCGGCCACAUUGGGACUGAGACACGGCCCAAACUCCUACGGGAGGCAGCAGUAGGGAAUCUUCCACAAUGGACGAAAGUCUGAUGGAGCAACGCCGCGUGAGUGAUGAAGGUUUUCGGAUCGUAAAACUCUGUUGUAAGGGAAGAACAAGUACGUUAGGAAAUGAACGUACCUUGACGGUACCUUAUUAGAAAGCCACGGCUAACUACGUGCCAGCAGCCGCGGUAAUACGUAGGUGGCAAGCGUUGUCCGGAUUUAUUGGGCGUAAAGCGCGCGCAGGUGGUUUCUUAAGUCUGAUGUGAAAGCCCACGGCUCAACCGUGGAGGGUCAUUGGAAACUGGGGAACUUGAGUGCAGAAGAGGAUAGUGGAAUUCCAAGUGUAGCGGUGAAAUGCGUAGAGAUUUGGAGGAACACCAGUGGCGAAGGCGACUGUCUGGUCUGUAACUGACACUGAGGCGCGAAAGCGUGGGGAGCAAACAGGAUUAGAUACCCUGGUAGUCCACGCCGUAAACGAUGAGUGCUAAGUGUUAGGGGGUUUCCGCCCCUUAGUGCUGCAGCUAACGCAUUAAGCACUCCGCCUGGGGAGUACGACCGCAAGGUUGAAACUCAAAGGAAUUGACGGGGGCCCGCACAAGCGGUGGAGCAUGUGGUUUAAUUCGAAGCAACGCGAAGAACCUUACCAGGUCUUGACAUCCCAAUGACCGUCCUAGAGAUAGGAUUUUCCCUUCGGGGACAUUGGUGACAGGUGGUGCAUGGUUGUCGUCAGCUCGUGCC